Molecule: ribosomal RNA, 903 nt
Filed under: uncultured Rubrobacteria bacterium
Lineage: Bacteria; Bacillati; Actinomycetota; Rubrobacteria
Description: bacterial SSU rRNA
Rfam family: Bacterial small subunit ribosomal RNA
Source: RNAcentral
GACGAACGCUGGCGGCGUGCUUAACACAUGCAAGUGGAGCGACCAACCGGGCUUCGGCCCGGGGCCAAGCCGCGAACGGGUGAGUAUCACGUGGGUAACCUGCCCCGAUGACCGGGAUAACCCGAGGAAACUCGGGCUAAUACCGAAUGUGCUCUCAAUCCACCAGGGUUGAGAACAAAGGAAGCUUCGGCCUCCGCAUUGGGAUGGGCCCGCGGCCCAUUAGCUUGUUGGUGAGGUAAGAGCUCACCAAGGCGACGAUGGGUAGCUGGUCUGAGAGGACGAUCAGCCACACUGGGACUGAGACACGGCCCANACUCCUACGGGAGGCAGCAGUGGGGAAUCUUGCGUAAUGCGCGAAAGCGUGACGCAACAACGCCGCGUGAGGGAAGACGGCCUUCGGGUUGUAAACCUCUUUCAGGAGGGACGAAGGUUCAGGCGCGAAUAGCGUCCUGGACUGACGGUACCUCCAGAAGAAGCCCCGGCUAACUACGUNCCAGCAGCCGCGGUAAUACGUAGGGGGCUAGCGUUGUCCGGAAUCAUUGGGCGUAAAGCGCGCGUAGGCGGCCCGGUAAGUCCGCUGUGAAAGUCAAAGGCUCAACCUUUGAAUGUCAGCGGAUACUGCCGGGCUAGAGUCCGGAAGAGGCGAGUGGAAUUCCUGAUGUAGCGGUGGAAUGCGCAGAUAUCAGGAGGAACACCAACGGCGAAGGCAGCUCGCUGGGACGGUACUGACGCUAAGGCGCGAAAGCGUGGGGAGCGAACAGGAUUAGAUACCCUGGUAGUCCACGCCGUAAACGAUGGGCACUAGGUGUGGGAGGUGUCGACUCCUCCCGUGCCGGCGCUAACGCAUUAAGUGCCCCGCCUGGGGAGUACGGCCGCAAGGCUAAAACUCAAAGGAAUUGACGG